Molecule: ribosomal RNA, 440 nt
Filed under: uncultured bacterium
Lineage: Bacteria
Description: partial 16S ribosomal RNA
Rfam family: Bacterial small subunit ribosomal RNA
Source: RNAcentral
CCUACGGGUGGCUGCAGUGGGGAAUAUUGCACAAUGGAGGAAACUCUGAUGCAGCGACGCCGCGUGAGGGAAGAAGUAAUUCGGUAUGUAAAGCUCUAUCAGCAGGGAAGAAAAUGACGGUACCUGACGAAGAAGCACCGGCUAAAUACGUGCCAGCAGCCGCGGUAAUACGUAGGGAGCAAGCGUUAUCCGGAUUUACUGGGUGUAAAGGGAGCGUAGGCGGCCGGGCAAGUCCGAAGUGAAAACCCGAAGCUCAACUAUGGGAUUGCUUUAGAAACUGCUCAGCUAGAGUGCAGUAGCGGUAAGUGGAAUGCUUGGUGUAGCGGUGAAAUGCGUAGAGAUCAGGAGGAACACCAGUGGCGAAGGCGGCUUGCUGGACUGUAACUGACGCUGAGGCUCGAAAGCGUGGGGAGCAAACAGGAUUAGAUACCCCUGUAGUC